UACAGACGGUCCAAACGUUAUUCGGAAUCACUGGGCGUAAAGGGUGCGCAGGCGGCCGAGUGUGUGAGGCGUGAAAGCCCGGGGCUUAACCCCGGAAUUGCACCUCAAACUACACGGCUAGAGCAUUGGAGAGGGUAGCAGAAUUCAUGGUGUAGCAGUGAAAUGCGUAGAUAUCGAGAGGAACACCUGCGGCGAAGGCGGGUUGCUGGGCUGAUACUGACGCUGAGGCGCGAAAGCCAGGGGAGCGAACGGG
RNAcentral lists this ribosomal RNA (253 nucleotides) under uncultured bacterium. RNAcentral describes it as "partial 16S ribosomal RNA". It matches the Rfam family "Bacterial small subunit ribosomal RNA", at positions 524 to 776 of the family's 1533-position model. The record is from RNAcentral.